UGAAUCAGUACUGUUGUUAAAAGCAGAGCUCUGCUGUUAAGAGGUUCUGUUUCUAAGGGACUGCUGAGUUAGAUUAGUAUAUACGUGGCAGUAGUUCAGCAAUAAUACAUCACAACAUUGCAUCAAUCAUGGGCUCCCACCAAUAAACACUUUACGGGUGGGUGUGUGUGUGUGUGCGCGCGCGCGCAUGUGCGCAUACUGUGUAAUGUUGGAAAAGGGAUGAAAUUGAAGAAACUGAAACUUCACGGAAUUUGGAAGAGUGGUUUUAACAUGGGACAGAAAAUAGUCUUUUCCUAUUCUCUCAAUCCAUUUUUAGGUAGAAAGGGUCUUAAGUGAUACUUAUGCUUUGGCAUCCAGAGCAUAAGAGAUGAAUGCAGCUACCCUGUGCCAUCCUACUAUAAUAAAUUUUGCACCCACACACAAGUACACAGUUUGCUGUUUUAGAAAGUGAUUCUACAAUCUCGGCUGUCAGGACAGCUGGGAUGCUUACUGUGAAAGGGUCUUGUGAGUGACUAAUGGAAUAUAUGGCUGUGAGAUUUUGCUGUUUUUCUUUCCUUUUGAUUUUUUUUUAAUCCUCCCAGUACUCCAGAGACAGAGACAGACCAGUCUCUGAGUUCAAGGCCAGCCUGAUCUUCAUAAUGAGCUCCAGACAACCAGGGCUAUCUAAGAAGCCUUGUCUCAAAACAAAAAUAAUCACAAAAACCCUAAAUAAAUAAAAGAAGU
RNAcentral lists this long non-coding RNA (723 nucleotides) under Mus musculus (house mouse). Its description in RNAcentral is "long non-coding RNA chr12:3502966-3503689". The record is from RNAcentral. Lineage: Eukaryota; Metazoa; Chordata; Mammalia; Rodentia; Muridae.